Molecule: non-coding RNA, 1503 nt
Organism: Phascolarctos cinereus (koala)
Lineage: Eukaryota; Metazoa; Chordata; Mammalia; Diprotodontia; Phascolarctidae
Source: RefSeq, a predicted model, not a curated record
UAUCUCUGAGCCCUUUCCCACAGAGAAGGUGGAAGAGCCUGCUGGGUUGUCUAUGGGCUUGGAUACGAGUGCUUGCUGUAUUUCUCAGAAAAGACGUUGAUUUCUUUUUGAACGUGAUACGCCAAGUAUCCUGAGCUUCCAGGAAUGAAGUCAUGUAGCUCACCAAGGAACUUCUUCAUUGUAUCAACAGAAACAUAACCUACAGAGGGAAAACUAUAUUUGAAGUGUCUGACUUUUUUUUUUCAAUCUUUUUGGUCCUUUGAGUUAGGACUAAUGAAAAGUUGCACAGAAAAGAAGGUGGAAUUUAUCACUUUUAAAUAUCCAGGAAGACAAGAUCUUCCUAAGCCAACUAAUUUCUACUGACAGCAUUUUUCUUUUUUAAUAAAUGCAGUAGUAUGGAGGGGCAUAGCGCCCAUAAGGCUGUGCUAACUGCUAGAAGCAGAAACACGAGAACAAUUUACUUGACAACCACAACAAUGAAAUGUAAAACAAUUCUGAAAAACGACAGAACUCUGAGUGGUACAAGGACCAAUCACAAUUUCAGAAGACUGAAGAUGAAGCACGGCACACACUUUUUGGUACAACGAUUAUAGAGCAGGGGUGCAGAAUGAGGCGUACAUUUGCAGAUAUGGACAAUGUGUUGAACUGUUUUGCUUGACUAUACUUCUUGUAAUAAGAGAUGGCUUCUAUUUGGUGAGAGAGGGACAUUUUGGUAGGUAGUGAUAGAGAUGCAAAAAAGGGAGAGAAAAUAGCAUCAAGAAAAUAUUUUAAAAGUGCUUAGAAGAAAAAAGUUCAGAAUGGAACACAAAGCAAUUUUGUCACUGUGCUAAAUUCAAAUUUUUUUAAAACUGUACAGAACAAACUCAGUGUCACAUACAAUCCUCUUUGUUGUUCUUUGUAUACUGAAAUGUUCAUGUUAAAUUUGUAAUAAAAAAUUUUAAUCUAAAAAAAAUAAUUAAUGUACACACUUAACCCUAUCUGCUCACUAUUUUCCCUUUCUCAAUGGUAUGAGCCCAUUAGUUACUAUUUUUUGAAGCUGGCUUUGGGAGUUGCUGCCUUUCAUUUCUCCCACAUUUUGAGUUUCUUGAGAAGUUACAUGGAGUCGUGGAUAGAGAGCUAGAAUAAGGAAGACCUGGGUUCAAGUCUUGUCUCUGAUAUAUGAUCUCUCAGGCAACUCUCCAAGACAAUGAGUUACAAAACAAUUGCAGACCUGCAUAGAUAGACAGAGGGAACUGUAUUUCCUCAGGGGAAAUUUCCUACACCAAAGAAAUCCUAGGUCUGGACAAAAAAACAAAACAAAAACAAAACCCCAACUAUUACUGCCUAUUAAGCAGAACAUCUAAGUGUGAAUUAUGCUCCCUUUACCUUCAUUUCUGUGAAUGACAGAUAACGGGCUAGAUUUGUCAAGCUAUUGAAGUAUUAUAUUUUCAUCCUACAACUUAAUCACUUGUAUCUUCUCUAUAAAAAUCUGUUUAAAUUUUCUUUCUUUCAUUCUUUCUUUCU